AUUCAGGUGUGCAGCGGUGGAGCUUCCUGUCUUCCCCUCCCUGCUUGCUUCCGUGGUGGCUGUGGUUUGGCAUGACGGCGUUGGUGGACGCAGCCAUUCUCUGGUGUAUCCAGCCGUUGUGAUUGCCGUCAAGGUGUGCUGUCUGAAUACCGUGGCUGAGUGCUGGGGUGAAUUCCCCGGGGUGAAGCGGGGAUCUGCUGGAGUCCUGCUGGGCAGAUGAACACAGGCUCGCUCUGGGUGUGUGUGGGUGUGUGCGUGAGCCGUAUUCUUGUGGCUCACACCCUCCAGUUGCCAGUUAACAGCCCGGCAUAAUCGGACUGCUACCAUCGCUUCAAGCUGAGCUGCUGUUUUGGUUCUCUUUAAUAUUUGUUUGGUGAAUUGUUUAUGGUUUUUUUUUUAUUCUGUUGUUUGCGGCGGCUUGGAGCGGACUUCUCAGCCCAGUACGGCUGAGUGCCGUCUGCGUCCACUCGUGUAGAGGCUGGUUGUGUUGCUGUUGUGUCAGAACUUGUACAGCUGCAAGGGCUACUUCAGUUGAUGGUGUUUUGUUUCCUUUGUUAUUUGGAAAUUAAUUCAGGUAUUUCCUUUUGGUGUUUUGGUUUGCUUUGUUGCAUUAGUUUAAUUGUGGGUUUUUUUUGUUGUUUUCUUUGUGAGUUUAUUUAGCCUUAUGUAUUGAUUUAAUUCAUCAUUUAUUGUUCUUUGGUUUUGUUUUCUUUUGUCCACACCAGUUAUGGUUAGUUUGGGCACGUUUUAUUAAUCUUUGUCUUUGUCUUCUGUGUACAGGUGCUGUGGCUUACUGCGGCAGUUAUUUCCUGGUGGUGGUGGUCUUCUUCACGGUCCCCCCUUUCUUUUGGUUUUGUGUGUGUGUGUGUGUAUUAUUUGCAGUGUCACGGGUGAUUCAUUUAAGGAUUCCUCUCCCCUUUUUUGGUUGUCCUGCCGCAGGGUAAGCCCUAGCCUGGGUUUAUUUUAUUCCUUGUUGCUCAUUCUUUCUUUUAGUUAGUAUAUGUUAACUGGUGUGUGACAUUAUUUCCUUCCUUAUAAAUUGUUAAUAAACAUUGUUAAAUUGGAACACGUCUCGCCCCCCUGUGUUAAUGGACCCUGUUUGAGCCUUAAUUGGUUUAGUGACAGUGAAACACACCUGAGCUAGGAUUUCCUGGGUGCAGGUCCCAGGUGGCGUUGUCGGGACCAUAAUUGGUCUAAUUGGCUACAAACAUUCCUCGAAUCUCGCCACAUCAGCAUUGGCUACAGUGCUGAAGAGAAACCUGGGGUUCUUCUUGUUCUCCUCUAUUAAUGAUAAAUAGUAUCAGCAUACUAGCAUUACUGGCAUUACGAAGAGCUUUUUUUUUUUUAUAAAGCAUUAGACUAUUUUUUCAAGCUACGUAAACUUCCGCUAAACUAGUGAAAUGCCACUUCCUUACCAGCUUUUGCGAGGCCUGCUUUAAAGUCCGCAGAUGGGAAUUAUGGCAAGGAGCAGGUGGGAAAAAUUGUUACAUCUGCCCUUCAUUUUUUUCCAUAAAUGGUGUUGAAGCUUAUUCUCAACUGCUGUACAAUCCAUUGCUGUAAAAUGAAAUGUUAUUAAAAAAUGGUCAGACUUCUGUCUGAGGGUUCUGGGGAAAUACUGUUAACUGUUCAGUUUCUAUACCAGUCAGAACAAGCUCAAGGGUGUGGUUAAAACUGAGUCGGUUUAUUUACAUGUUGAGAAAAACCAGUUAAGUCUAAUAAUGAAUUAAAUGCAGUCUCAAGGUUGUCACUGUCAACGUUAACAUGAAUGUUAAACUCCCCCACAAUAAUGACUUCAUCUGAACUAAGCACUAAAUCAGGAAAAAAAAGUCUUUACAUGUACAUUAAACAACUUUAUUAUCCAGCGUUAUUGCUCACAAGGGACUUAAUAUGUUUGAUGACUGAAUAGAGGGACUUUUUUAAUAUUUUAAUAAUUCUAAAUAAAAACACCAGCAAUGAUAAUUUGUCUGUUAUAAAUGUUUUUUGAAAACCAUGUAACUUAAUGGAAAUAAAACCAUUCAAAGCACAUUUCAAAGCAGUUUAAUGAGGAUUAUUCAGUGAAGCAGAAGCAACAAAACUGGUUUUGUUGAAAUUUCUGCAGUUUCAAACAGACUCACACACACUAUCUAACUUAAUGAAGUGCCUUUAUUCAUCAGAUAGAUGACUUGUUACAAAGAGAAGCUAUCUUAAAUAGGGAGUAGUGAAACACAACCAGUCAUAUUCCCCACAAGUUAUAGGAAGGUAUGAAUCCUAAAACAACUUUCUACUGAAUGACAGCUUUGCAAUGACAACAAAAUUAAUUAUCUUUUGAAGAAUUAAUAUUAUAAUUUUGUUUUCAAUCAUUCUCUGUAUCUUUAUUUUCUCAUGUUUAUUCUGUCUGUGUUGUCAGAUCAUUCUCUCUGUAAAGAACAUUUGCUAAUGUUUGUUGUUUUUAAAUAUGCUCUAAAGUGACUUGAUGUGACAGAUUUAAUAAAUUUUACAUGUAUCUGAAGUCAGUCUU
Amphiprion ocellaris (clown anemonefish) is the source of this 2497-nucleotide long non-coding RNA. The record is from Ensembl. NCBI's taxonomy places the organism in Eukaryota, Metazoa, Chordata, Actinopteri, Pomacentridae.